RNAcentral lists this ribosomal RNA (460 nucleotides) under uncultured bacterium. RNAcentral's name for it is "partial 16S ribosomal RNA". It matches the Rfam family "Bacterial small subunit ribosomal RNA", at positions 338 to 795 of the family's 1533-position model. The record is from RNAcentral.
CCUACGGGAGGCAGCAGUGAGGAAUAUUGGUCAAUGGACGAGAGUCUGAACCAGCCAAGUAGCGUGAAGGAUGACUGCCCUAUGGGUUGUAAACUUCUUUUAUAUGGGAAUAAAAUGUUCCACGUGUGGGAUUUUGUAUGUACCAUAUGAAUAAGGAUCGGCUAACUCCGUGCCAGCAGCCGCGGUAAUACGGAGGAUCCGAGCGUUAUCCGGAUUUAUUGGGUUUAAAGGGAGCGUAGGUGGACUGUUAAGUCAGUUGUGAAAGUUUGCGGCUCAACCGUAAAAUUGCAGUUGAAACUGGCAGUCUUGAGUACAGUAGAGGUGGGCGGAAUUCGUGGUGUAGCGGUGAAAUGCUUAGAUAUCACGAAGAACUCCGAUUGCGAAGGCAGUUCACUGGACUGCAACUGACACUGAGGCUCGAAAGUGUGGGUAUCAAACAGGAUUAGAUACCCCUGUAGUC